GAUGAACGCUGGCGGCGUGCCUAAUACAUGCAAGUCGAGCGAACAGACGAGGAGCUUGCUCCUCUGACGUUAGCGGCGGACGGGUGAGUAACACGUGGAUAACCUACCUAUAAGACUGGGAUAACUUCGGGAAACCGGAGCUAAUACCAGAUAAUAUAUUGAACCGCAUGGUUCAAUAGUGAAAGACGGUUUUGCUGUCACUUAUAGAUGGAUCCGCGCCGCAUUAGCUAGUUGGUAAGGUAACGGCUUACCAAGGCAACGAUGCGUAGCCGACCUGAGAGGGUGAUCGGCCACACUGGAACUGAGACACGGUCCAGACUCCUACGGGAGGCAGCAGUAGGGAAUCUUCCGCAAUGGGCGAAAGCCUGACGGAGCAACGCCGCGUGAGUGAUGAAGGUCUUCGGAUCGUAAAACUCUGUUAUUAGGGAAGAACAAAUGUGUAAGUAACUAUGCACGUCUUGACGGUACCUAAUCAGAAAGCCACGGCUAACUACGU
This 496-nucleotide ribosomal RNA is filed under the name uncultured bacterium. RNAcentral's name for it is "partial 16S ribosomal RNA". It matches the Rfam family "Bacterial small subunit ribosomal RNA", at positions 28 to 506 of the family's 1533-position model. The record is from RNAcentral.